GUAGUGAACAGGAAGGUGGCGAGCUGCUGGGGGAGAGGGGUUGGGCUUUGGUACGCGUUCACGCCAUCCUGCUGGUGGUGGUGGGGGGGGAACGCACCGCGGUGCUGGAUGCCUGCUUGGAGGGGGGUGCAUAACACCGGAGCACACCGCGGGGCUAGCUACGUGCUGGGAGGGGGGGGGUAAACAACAGAGCGCAAUGGGCUGGGGAAACGCGAACCUGGCUCCCUGCACUCAAGUAUC
Long non-coding RNA from Gopherus evgoodei (Goodes thornscrub tortoise), 240 nucleotides. RefSeq lists it as uncharacterized. Lineage: Eukaryota; Metazoa; Chordata; Testudines; Testudinidae. The record is from RefSeq and is a predicted model, not a curated record. The transcript has 3 exons.